This 2872-nucleotide ribosomal RNA is filed under the name Clostridioides difficile. RNAcentral describes it as "partial 23S ribosomal RNA". It matches the Rfam family "Bacterial large subunit ribosomal RNA". The record is from RNAcentral. Lineage: Bacteria; Bacillati; Bacillota; Clostridia; Peptostreptococcales; Peptostreptococcaceae.
GGUCAAGUUAUUAAGGGUGCAGGGCGGAUGCCUUGGCACUAGGAGCCGAUGAAGGACGUGAUAAGCUGCGAUAAGCUUCGGGGAGUUGCACGUAAACUUUGAUCCGAAGAUUUCCGAAUGAGGAAACUCACUUAGAGUAAUGUCUAAGUAUCAUUAAGUGAAUACAUAGCUUAAUGAGGGGAACUCAGGGAACUGAAACAUCUAAGUACCUGAAGGAAGAGAAAGAAAUUCGAUUCCGUAAGUAGCGGCGAGCGAACGCGGAUUAGCCCAAACCAAUAAAGUUUUCUUUAUUGGGGUUGCGGACAUAUCAUAACGAAGAGGUAUCGUAAUUGAAGAGGUUUGGAAAGACCCACCACAGAAGGUAAUAGUCCUGUAUGUUAAACGAGAAGACUUUAGAUAUGAUCCAGAGUACCACGGGACACGUGAAACCCUGUGGGAAGCAGGAGGGACCACCCUCCAAGGCUAAAUACUACCUAGUGACCGAUAGCGUAUAGUACCGUGAGGGAAAGGUGAAAAGAACCCCGGGAGGGGAGUGAAAUAGAACCUGAAACCCUGCACUUACAAGCUGUGGAAGCACAUUUCUUGUGUGACCGCGUACUUUUUGUAGAACGGGCCAACGAGUUACGUUAAGUAGCAAGGUUAAGCACUUAAGGUGUGGAGCCGUAGCGAAAGCGAGUUUUAACUGAGCGUUCAGUUACUUGACGUAGACCCGAAACCGGGCGACCUACCCAUGAGCAGGAUGAAGCGAAAGUAAAAUUUCGUGGAGGUCCGAACCCACGAGCGUUGAAAAGCUCGGGGAUGACUUGUGGGUAGCGGUGAAAUUCCAAUCGAGCCCGGAGAUAGCUGGUUCUCCCCGAAAUAGCUUUAGGGCUAGCCUCAAGGUGAGAGAUACGGAGGUAGAGCACUGAAUGUCCUAGGGGGUAUUGCACCUACCGAAGACUAUCAAACUCCGAAUGCCGUCAUCUUAUACUUGGGAGUCAGACUGUGGGUGAUAAGAUUCAUAGUCGAAAGGGCAACAGCCCAGAUCGUCAGCUAAGGUCCCUAAAUGUAAGUUAAGUGGUAAAGGAUGUGGGAUUGCACAGACAACCAGGAUGUUGGCUUAGAAGCAGCCACUCAUUCAAAGAGUGCGUAAUAGCUCACUGGUCGAGUGAUCCUGCGCCGAAGAUUUCCGGGGCUAAAACUUACUACCGAAGCUACGGCAUCAGUAAUGAUGGGUAGGGGAGCUUCCCAUACGGGUUGAAGCAUGACCGUAAGGACAUGUGGACAGUAUGGGAGUGAGAAUGUUGGCAUGAGUAGCGAGAUGUGGGUGAGAAUCCCACAGGCCGUAAACCCAAGGUUUCCAGGGGAAGGUUCGUCCGCCCUGGGUUAGUCGGGACCUAAGCUGAGGCCGAAAGGCGUAGGUGAUGGACAACAGGUUGAUAUUCCUGUACUACCGAUAACCGUUUGAGAGAAGGGAUGACACAGUAGGAUAAGCUAAGCACACUGUUGGUUAUGUGUGCCCAAGCAUUGAGGCAGUCAAAGUAGGCAAAUCCGCUUUGAUAAUGCUGGGAUGUGAUGGGGAGCGAAAUUUAGUAGCGAAGUAGCUGAUUUCACACUGUCAAGAAAAGUCUCUAUCGAGGUUAAAGGUACCCGUACCGCAAACCGACACAGGUGGGUGAGGAGAGUAUCCUAAGGCCAGCGAGAGAACUGUUGUUAAGGAACUCGGCAAAAUGACCCCGUAACUUAGGGAUAAGGGGUGCCACCAUCAGGUGGCCGCAGAGAAUAGGCCCAAGCGACUGUUUACCAAAAACAUAGGUUUCUGCUAAGUCGCAAGACGAUGUAUAGGAGCUGACGCCUGCCCGGUGCUGGAAGGUUAAGGGGAUCUGUUAGAGCAAUCGAAGCAGUGAACUUAAGCCCCAGUAAACGGCGGCCGUAACUAUAACGGUCCUAAGGUAGCGAAAUUCCUUGUCGGGUAAGUUCCGACCCGCACGAAAGGCGUAACGAUUUGGGCACUGUCUCAACAACAGACUCGGUGAAAUUGUAAUUCCGGUGAAGAUGCCGGAUACCUGCGACAGGACGGAAAGACCCCAUGGAGCUUUACUGUAGCUUGACAUUGGGUCUUGGUACUACAUGUACAGGAUAGGUGGGAGGCUUUGAAACCAGGACGCCAGUUUUGGCGGAGCCAUCCUUGGGAUACCACCCUUGUAGUACUGGGACUCUAACCAUAGGCCAUGAAUCUGGUCUUGGGACACUGUCAGGUGGGCAGUUUGACUGGGGCGGUCGCCUCCCAAAAGGUAACGGAGGCGCUCAAAGGUUCUCUCAGUACGGUCGGAAAUCGUACGUAGAGUGUAAAGGCAAAAGAGAGCUUGAUUGCAAGACAUACAGGUCGAGCAAGGAUGAAAAUCGGACUUAGUGAUCCGGUGGUUCUGCGUGGAAGGGCCAUCGCUCAACGGAUAAAAGCUACCCUGGGGAUAACAGGCUUAUCUCCCCCAAGAGUCCACAUCGACGGGGAGGUUUGGCACCUCGAUGUCGGCUCAUCACAUCCUGGGGCUGUAGUAGGUCCCAAGGGUUGGGCUGUUCGCCCAUUAAAGUGGUACGCGAGCUGGGUUCAGAACGUCGUGAGACAGUUCGGUCCCUAUCCGUCGCAGGCGUAGGAAAUUUGAGAAGACCUGUCCUUAGUACGAGAGGACCGGGAUGGACGUACCUCUGGUGUACCAGUUGUCCUGCCAAGGGCAUGGCUGGGUAGCUAUGUACGGAAUGGAUAAGCGCUGAAAGCAUCUAAGCGCGAAGCCAACUUCAAGAUAAGAUUUCCCACCGCAAGGGUAAGACCCCAGAAAGACUAUCUGGUUGAUAGGUCGAAGGUGUAAGUGCAGCAAUGUAUUUAGCUUAUCGA